ACUCCUACGGGAGGCAGCAGUGAGGAAUAUUGGACAAUGGAGGCAACUCUGAUCCAGCCAUGCCGCGUGCAGGAAGACUGCCCUAUGGGUUGUAAACUGUCUUUUAUACGGGAAGAAACAGCUCUACGUGUAGAGCCUUGACGGUACCGUAAGAAUAAGCACCGGCUAACUCCGUGCCAGCAGCCGCGGUAAUACGGAGGGUGCAAGCGUUAUCCGGAAUCAUUGGGUUUAAAGGGUCCGUAGGCGGACGAUUAAGUCAGAGGUGAAAGUCUGCAGCUCAACUGUAGAAUUGCCUUUGAUACUGGUUGUCUUGAAUUAUUGUGAAGUGGUUAGAAUAAGUAGUGUAGCGGUGAAAUGCAUAGAUAUUACUUAGAAUACCAAUUGCGAAGGCAGAUCACUAACAAUAUAUUGACGCUGAGGGACGAAAGCGUGGGAGCGAACAGGAUUAGAUACCCCUGGUAGCGACUGA
RNAcentral lists this ribosomal RNA (469 nucleotides) under uncultured bacterium. RNAcentral describes it as "bacterial SSU rRNA". It matches the Rfam family "Bacterial small subunit ribosomal RNA", at positions 335 to 803 of the family's 1533-position model. The record is from RNAcentral.